CCCUUAGAUGUCCUGGGCCGCACGCGCACUACACUGAUGCAUUCAACGAGUUUUACCUUGGCCGAGAGGCCUGGGCAAUCUUUUAAACCUGCAUCGUGAUAGGGAUAGAUUAUUGCAAUUAUUAAUCUUGAACGAGGAAUUCCUAGUAAACGCAGAUCAUCAAUCUGCAUUGAUUACGUCCCUGCCCUUUGUACACACCGCCCGUCGCACCUACCGAUUGAAUGGUCCGGUGAAGCCUCGGGAUUGUGGCCAGUUCACUUUAUUGGGAGUUGGCUGCGAGAACUUGUCUAAACCUUAUCAUUUAGAGGAAGGUGAAGUCGUAACA
RNAcentral lists this ribosomal RNA (325 nucleotides) under uncultured eukaryote. RNAcentral describes it as "partial 18S ribosomal RNA". It matches the Rfam family "Eukaryotic small subunit ribosomal RNA", at positions 1470 to 1796 of the family's 1831-position model. The record is from RNAcentral.